Molecule: ribosomal RNA, 237 nt
Filed under: uncultured bacterium
Lineage: Bacteria
Description: partial 16S ribosomal RNA
Rfam family: Bacterial small subunit ribosomal RNA
Source: RNAcentral
CCGGCACGGGUGAGUAACACGUAUCCAACCUGCCGUCUACUCUUGGACAGCCUUCUGAAAGGAAGAUUAAUACAAGAUGGCAUCAUGAGUCCACAUGUUCACAUGAUUAAAGGUAUUCCGGUAGACGAUGGGGAUGCGUUCCAUUAGAUAGUAGGCGGGGUAACGGCCCACCUAGUCUUCGAUGGGUAGGGGUUCUGAGAGGAAGGUCCCCCACAUUGGAACUGAGACACGGUCCAA